AAUCCAAAGUUUGCAAAUUUUGUAUACUUUUGUAUUGCAGUUUUGUAUCGCAUGCAAUACAAAAGUAUACCGGCAAAAUUUGCAAACUUUACAAGGCUAU
This is a non-coding RNA of Paramuricea clavata, 100 nucleotides long. The record is from the annotation of a GenBank genome assembly. NCBI's taxonomy places the organism in Eukaryota, Metazoa, Cnidaria, Anthozoa, Malacalcyonacea, Plexauridae.